This is a small nucleolar RNA of Gossypium raimondii (Peruvian cotton), 107 nucleotides long. It matches the Rfam family "Plant small nucleolar RNA R71". From Rfam's summary of the family: R71 is a member of the C/D box family of snoRNAs containing the C (UGAUGA) and D (CUGA) box motifs. Multiple nearly identical copies of this snoRNA have been identified in Arabidopsis, and it is thought to function as a 2'-O-ribose methylation guide for 18S ribosomal RNA. The record is from Rfam. NCBI's taxonomy places the organism in Eukaryota, Viridiplantae, Streptophyta, Magnoliopsida, Malvales, Malvaceae.
AUCUCAUGAUGAGGGCACUUACGAAGUAACUCCUUGAAUCGCUUCCAAGCCUCAUACAAAGACUCAUCAUCCAAUUGUUGGAAAGUUGUGAUCUUGUUCCUUAACUU